GAUGUCUUCAAGGAACAACUGCUAAUGAGUCUGCAGAGUCGCCUGUGUGUCUUUCAGCGUAGUCUCCACUCAGAGCUGAGUGAGUGGCCCCAUUGAUGAGUGAAGAGGCGACGACGGAUUGACCGAAGUAUGAUUGGGGAACCAACCAACUUUGUGCACACAGCUCACGUAGGAUCCGGAGACCUAUUUAGUGGGAUGAACUCGGUCAGCUCCAUUCAGAACCAGAUGCAGUCCAAGGGAGGUUAUGGAGGAGGAAUGCCUGCCAAUGUGCAGAUGCAGCUUGUGGACACAAAGGCAGGAUAGCCCUGGUCCCUUCAUCUGUCAUUGUGAACUCCCGUAUUUUCUCUGUCCACAGUUCUAUAAUAUUUUUGUCUUGUGAUUGGAUUUCUUUUAUUUUAAUUAUAAAAAAGAAGUGUGGCGGCAAUCUGUUCACCCUGUGAUCUCCAGCAAAGAUGUUCCUGCUCCAGGGAAGGCAGUGUCAGGCCGACCUGCCUUGCCGUUAGCGGCAUGCAUGCCUGGGACUCUGACAGAGUUCUUUGGAUCGUAGCUGAAUUUUCAAUGUUUAAUUGACAUGGAUCGGAUCUUAGCAUGGUCUUCUUUGUGACUGCUAGCACUGUAUUGUAAUUUUCCAUUUUAAACCUUUUCGUUGCACCUCC
RNAcentral lists this long non-coding RNA (656 nucleotides) under Rattus norvegicus (Norway rat). RNAcentral's name for it is "long non-coding RNA NONRATT005431". The record is from RNAcentral. Lineage: Eukaryota; Metazoa; Chordata; Mammalia; Rodentia; Muridae.